UUUUACUAAAGAUUUCCGUGGAGAGG
This 26-nucleotide non-coding RNA is filed under the name Drosophila erecta. The record is from RNAcentral. Lineage: Eukaryota; Metazoa; Arthropoda; Insecta; Diptera; Drosophilidae. RNAcentral also lists the same sequence under 6 other names.